AAAAAAAAGAAAGCAUAGACAAAAUCCCAUCUGUACAAGGAAAUCAUGAUUAAAGUGGUCAUAUGCAUAUCUAUACUAUUACAUUCGGUACAACAGAAACCAUUGGAUGAAAAGGAUACCAAUGUACAUAAGUUACCAAACAAUGUAUGGAAAACAAAAGGACCAGACAAGAAGGUAAACGAACAGUCAACCCAAAAUAUUUUCGAAACAAGAUUAACAACGUUACCUUCCAUGUCAUCUUUAAAUGACAUGAGAGAGUGGAAAAAUAACCCUACAACAACAUUGCAAGAUAAUCGAAAUCAACAUUCUGAUAUCAACACGAUAGGAAAGAAUGUUACCACUGAAAGUUCACCUACAGACAUAUUUGAAAUUCAUUUUAAUCUUAGUAGCAAACCAAAUGCGUCUGAAGCAAAUCUGUCUACUACAACAACUAUGUUUACGGUUAUAGGAGCUGUUAUUGCAGUUAUUCUACUAUUAUAAAACUAAGAAGAUGUGGUAUAAUAGAAAAUAAAUGAUAUGGGGUUUCCAUCAAUGACACAAGCAUUUCCAAGCAUUGAUGAAGUCGCUCACGAAUAGUAUUCAUUGUGUGGACAUAUUGUAUACCUUUGAAACAAUCUCCCGAACAAUUUGGAACAAUGCACAUAGCAUUUUAAAUCUCAACUUAAAAAUAUUUUUAAUCGUUUUCCUUUUUAAUAACAUUUAAUUGAUAUAUUUUGUAUCUAAAUUGAGACACGAAUAUGUAGUGUGCUUUUUGCGCAGCAUGUUUUCUUUUUAUUGUAAUUGUAUUCACAUUAAGUCUACAUUUUGUAUUCCUUUCUCAGGGAUUUUACCUCUUUAGCAUGAUUUUUGGACGACAGGAGUAUUCAACUUCUAAUUAUUAUUUUGUUUUAUUUUAAUAUGUAAUGUUAUAUUGACUUUUUACAUGCUAUUCAUUUUUAUUGUAUUUUUUAUUUCAGUAAUUGCAUCUGGUGUAUUGUAGGUUUUGUGUUUUUCUUUUCUUUUUAAAUUGUUUUAUUUACCAUCAUGGUUCAUUGCCCAGUUUAUUCCAGCUACAUAUAUCAUUGGCAUUGUCAGUUUGUUUUCGACUUAUGAGAGUAGCUAUCCCUUGGUAACUUCCGCCUCUCUUUUGAAUCUAAAGACCAAAAGCAAAACUCCUAAGUCGUACAUCUGCCUAACUGAACAAGCCUCGUAUCUUUGGCUAUUAAUCUAUUUUAUGAAAAGGAAAUAAAACCUCUAAAAUGCAAAAAAAAAAAUUUGUUGUGCAAUUUCGUGUAUCUACUGCCAAUUUUAUGUAUCUUCUGCAAAUUUUAUGUAUUAUAAAGAGAUAAAUCUAAUUAUUACAUUGGUUACAAUGAAUUACCGUGAUUUCCCAGUGAAAUAAAAACCGAUAAUUUCACAUGAGAAAUAACCUUGGUUAUUUCACUCCUCUGACGUCAUACAACAAUAGGUGUUGUCAAGACGUUUCGAACAACACUGAUAAUUACGCGCAUUCGUGAGUUAAUGUGUUGUUCGGUCAUACGUUGAAUAUUUUAUAUUUAUAUUUUUAUAUAUUUGACUUCUUCGAUUAGUUAUUGUAUAACUAUCAAACAAUACAGAUUAU
Mytilus californianus (California mussel) is the source of this 1600-nucleotide long non-coding RNA. RefSeq lists it as uncharacterized. Lineage: Eukaryota; Metazoa; Mollusca; Bivalvia; Mytilida; Mytilidae. The transcript is spliced from 3 exons. The record is from RefSeq and is a predicted model, not a curated record.